This 431-nucleotide ribosomal RNA is filed under the name uncultured bacterium. Its description in RNAcentral is "bacterial SSU rRNA". It matches the Rfam family "Bacterial small subunit ribosomal RNA", at positions 917 to 1349 of the family's 1533-position model. The record is from RNAcentral.
GGGCCCGCACAAGCGGUGGAGUAUGUGGUUUAAUUCGAUGCAACGCGAAGAACCUUACCAGGGUUUGACAUCCUGCGAAUCUCUUGGAAACGAGAGAGUGCCUUCGGGAACGCAGUGACAGGUGGUGCAUGGCUGUCGUCAGCUCGUGUCGUGAGAUGUUGGGUUAAGUCCCGCAACGAGCGCAACCCACGUCUUUAGUUGCCAGCAUUUAGUUGGGCACUCUAGAGAGACUGCCGGUGAUAAACCGGAGGAAGGUGUGGAUGACGUCAAGUCAUCAUGCCCCUUACAUCCUGGGCUACACACGUACUACAAUGCUACGGACAAAGGGCAGCAAGUUCGCGAGAACAAGCAAAUCCCAUAAACCGUGGCUCAGUUCAGAUCGUAGGCUGCAACUCGCCUACGUGAAGUCGGAAUCGCUAGUAAUCGUGGAU